GAGCCUGUAGCGCAGCCCGGUAGCGCACUGCUCUGAUAAGGCAGGGGUCCACAGUUCAAAUCUGUGCAGGCUCA
This 74-nucleotide transfer RNA is filed under the name Nanobdellota archaeon. Its description in RNAcentral is "tRNA-Ile". It matches the Rfam family "tRNA". Rfam says of the family: Transfer RNA (tRNA) molecules are approximately 80 nucleotides in length. Their secondary structure includes four short double-helical elements and three loops (D, anti-codon, and T loops). The record is from RNAcentral. Lineage: Archaea; Nanobdellati; Nanobdellota.